CCUACGGGGGGCAGCAGUGAGGAAUAGUGGUCAAUGGCCGGAAGGCUGAACCAGCCAUGCCGCGUGAAGGGCAGGGCCCUAGGGGCGUUAAACUUCUUUUGUGCGGGAGCAAGAAUGGGCACGUGUGGCCAGACGAGAGUACCGUACGAAUAAGCAGCGGCUAACUCCGAGCCAGCAGCCGCGGUAAUACGGGGGAUGCAAGCGUUAUCCUGAUUUCUUGGGUUUAAAGGGUGCGUAGGCUGUGAGGUAAGUCAGCGGUGAACUGCCCCCGCUCAACGGGGUGAAGUGCCAUUGAUACUGCCUUGCUGGCCUGCGGCUGCCGUGGGAGGAAUGUGUGGUGUAGC
Molecule: ribosomal RNA, 344 nt
Filed under: uncultured bacterium
Lineage: Bacteria
Description: partial 16S ribosomal RNA
Rfam family: Bacterial small subunit ribosomal RNA
Source: RNAcentral